RNAcentral lists this ribosomal RNA (253 nucleotides) under uncultured bacterium. RNAcentral's name for it is "partial 16S ribosomal RNA". It matches the Rfam family "Bacterial small subunit ribosomal RNA", at positions 524 to 776 of the family's 1533-position model. The record is from RNAcentral.
UACGAAGGGGGCUAGCGUUGCUCGGAAUUACUGGGCGUAAAGCGCACGUAGGCGGUCUUUUAAGUCGGGGGUGAAAUCCUGGAGCUCAACUCCAGAACUGCCUUCGAUACUGGAAGACUUGAGUCCGGGAGAGGUGAGUGGAACUGCGGGUGUAGAGGUGAAAUUCGUAGAUAUUCGCAAGAACACCAGUGGCGAAGGCGGCUCACUGGCCCGGUACUGACGCUGAGGUGCGAAAGCGUGGGGAGCAAACAGG